ACGCGCCAAACCUUACCUGGGUUUGACAUGGAUCGGGAGUGCUCAGAGAUGGGUGUGCCUCUUUUGGGGUCGGUUCACAGGUGGUGCAUGGCUGUCGUCAGCUCGUGUCGUGAGAUGUUGGGGUUAAGUCCCCGCAACGAGCGCAACCCCUUGUUCACUGUUGGCCAGCACGUUAUGGUGGGGACUCAGUGGAGACCGCCGGGUCAACUCGGAGGAAGGUGGGGAUGACGUCAAGUCAUCAUGCCCCUUA
This 250-nucleotide ribosomal RNA is filed under the name uncultured bacterium. Its description in RNAcentral is "partial 16S ribosomal RNA". It matches the Rfam family "Bacterial small subunit ribosomal RNA", at positions 959 to 1204 of the family's 1533-position model. The record is from RNAcentral.